Molecule: ribosomal RNA, 305 nt
Filed under: uncultured bacterium
Lineage: Bacteria
Description: bacterial SSU rRNA
Rfam family: Bacterial small subunit ribosomal RNA
Source: RNAcentral
ACUCUCCUACGGGGCGCAGCAGUGAGGAAUAUUGGUCAAUGGGCGAGAGCCUGAACCAGCCAAGUCGCGUGAGGGAGUACUGCCCUGUGGGUUGUAAACCUCUUUUGUCGGGGAGCAAAAGCCGGACGUGUCCGUCUGUGAGAGUACCCGAAGAAAUAGCAUCGGCUAACUCCGUGCCAGCAGCCGCGGUAAUACGGAGGAUGCGAGCGUUAUCCGGAUUUAUUGGGUUUAAAGGGUGCGCAGGCGGAUUUUUAAGUCAACGGUCAAAUCGUGGGGCUCAACCCCAUCCAGCCGUUGAAACUGGG